Long non-coding RNA from Phymastichus coffea, 507 nucleotides. RefSeq lists it as uncharacterized. The transcript is spliced from 3 exons. The record is from RefSeq and is a predicted model, not a curated record. NCBI's taxonomy places the organism in Eukaryota, Metazoa, Arthropoda, Insecta, Hymenoptera, Eulophidae.
GCGCCACGUGUUAUCCUCUUGCAGAGUGAGAGAGAGAGCAACUCCUCCAAAUUGGGCAACUUUUUUCGCAUCGUGCCUUCACUACCACGCCAAGAGUGCUGUAUAAUUUGGCAGCGAUCGCAUUUUAAUAACGGCGUGAUUGCAGCUGGCCAAGCGUAAUUGCAGCGCGAUAUGCUAAGCGCUUCGCGCUGAAAAAGCCGCGGCACGUUUCCACCGAUGCUGCUUCACUCCUGAGCACGCGGGUGGCCUUUCGAACCAACUUUUCCUUUCGAUUUGCUCAAACGGAGUGCCUCGAGUCUCCAGUUCGUUUUUCUUACGUUUGCGUAUCGAGGCAUCGUUUGGUUUUCAAUUUUCUGCAUAAUGAACAUCAUUUACAAGUACAUCUUCGGAAUGGCUGAAUCCAUUUGAUGGAGGGCAGUCUCAUUCGAAAGGAUAUGCUUCCAAGCUGGUUUCAUAUAUCAUUUACAAAAAUACAUCCGAGCUAAUACUAACGAAAUCUGUCAAAAC